AACGCGAAGAACCUUACCAGGUCUUGACAUCCCGCUGACCGCUCUAGAGAUAGAGUUUUCCCUUCGGGGACAGCGGUGACAGGUGGUGCAUGGUUGUCGUCAGCUCGUGUCGUGAGAUGUUGGGUUAAGUCCCGCAACGAGCGCAACCCUUGAUCUUAGUUGCCAGCAUUCAGUUGGGCACUCUAAGGUGACUGCCGGUGAUAAACCGGAGGAAGGUGGGGAUGACGUCAAAUCAUCAUGCCCCUUAUGACCUGGGCUACACACGUGCUACAAUGGACGGUACAGAGGGUCGCAACCCCGCGAGGGUGAGCUAAUCCCAUAAAACCGUUCUCAGUUCGGAUUGUAGGCUGCAACUCGCCUACAUGAAGCCGGAAUCGCUAGUAAUCGUGGAUCAGCAUGCCACGGUGAAUACGUUCCCGGGCCUUGUA
Molecule: ribosomal RNA, 428 nt
Filed under: uncultured Bacillota bacterium
Lineage: Bacteria; Bacillati; Bacillota
Description: bacterial SSU rRNA
Rfam family: Bacterial small subunit ribosomal RNA
Source: RNAcentral